GGCUCAGUGGUCUAGUAGUAUGAUACUCGCUUCGGGUGCAGACCCGUCAUGUGAAGAAACACGUGAUCAAUUGUGAGUGGUCUCGGGUUCAAUUCCCGACUGAGCCC
Non-coding RNA from Dentipellis sp. KUC8613, 107 nucleotides. The record is from the annotation of a GenBank genome assembly. NCBI's taxonomy places the organism in Eukaryota, Fungi, Basidiomycota, Agaricomycetes, Russulales, Hericiaceae.